Molecule: ribosomal RNA, 324 nt
Filed under: uncultured eukaryote
Lineage: Eukaryota
Description: partial 18S ribosomal RNA
Rfam family: Eukaryotic small subunit ribosomal RNA
Source: RNAcentral
CCCUUAGAUGUUCUGGGCUGCACGCGCGCUACACUGAUACACUCAACGAGUUCCUGACUUGAAAUAGUCAGGUAAUCAUUUGAGCGUGUAUCGUGAUGGGGAUAGAAUAUUGUAAUUAUUGCUCUUCAACGAGGAAUUUCUAGUAAGCGCAAGUCAUCAGCUUGCGUUGAUUACGUCCCUGCCCUUUGUACACACCGCCCGUCGCUCCUACCGAUUGAAUGGUCCGGUGAAGCGUUCGGACCGUGGCCUUUGGACGGUUCGCCGUCUGUUGGCUGCGGGAAGUUCGUUAAACCUUAUCAUUUAGAGGAAGGAGAAGUCGUAACA